UACAGAGACAGCAAGCGUUGCUCGGAUUCAUUGGGCGUAAAGGGUGCGUAGGCGGUCGGGUAAGUCUGAUGUGAAAUCUCAUAGCCUAACUGUGAGCGGUCAUUGGAAACUGCCCGGCUCGAGGACUGGAGGGGAGACUGGAAUAGCUGGUGUAGCGGUGAAAUGCGUAGAGAUCAGCUAGAACACCGGUGGCGAAGGCGGGUCUCUGGACAGUUCCUGACGCUGAGGCACGAAAGCCAGGGGAG
This 245-nucleotide ribosomal RNA is filed under the name uncultured bacterium. Its description in RNAcentral is "partial 16S ribosomal RNA". It matches the Rfam family "Bacterial small subunit ribosomal RNA", at positions 524 to 768 of the family's 1533-position model. The record is from RNAcentral.